Molecule: ribosomal RNA, 648 nt
Filed under: uncultured Clostridium sp.
Lineage: Bacteria; Bacillati; Bacillota; Clostridia; Eubacteriales; Clostridiaceae
Description: bacterial SSU rRNA
Rfam family: Bacterial small subunit ribosomal RNA
Source: RNAcentral
GAUUUCUUCGGAAUGAAAAUAAGUGGAUUAGUGGCGAACGGGUGAGUAACACGUGAGUAACCUGCCUUACACAAGGGGAUAGCCUUUGGAAACGAAGAAUAAUACCCUAUGACGUCAAUUUAUCGCAUGAUAGAAUGACCAAAGAUUUAUCGGUGUAAGAUGGACUUGCGUCUGAUUAGCUAGUUGGUGAGAUAAAAGCCCACCAAGGCGACGAUCAGUAGCCGGCUUGAGAGAGUGUACGGCCACAUUGGGACUGAGACACGGCCCAAACUCCUACGGGAGGCAGCAGUGGGGAAUUUUGCACAAUGGGGGAAACCCUGAUGCAGCGACGCCGCGUGAUUUAGAAGGCCUUCGGGUUGUAAAAAUCUUUUUUAUGGGAUGAAAAUGACAGUACCAUAAGAAUAAGGUCCGGCUAAAUACGUGCCAGCAGCCGCGGUAAUACGUAUGGACCGAGCGUUGUCCGGAAUCAUUGGGCGUAAAGGGUACGUAGGCGGCCUAGUAAGUUAGAAGUGAAAUAAUAUAGCUCAACUAUAUAAAGCUUUUAAAACUGUUAGGCUUGAGAGAUGAAAGGGAAAGUGGAAUUCCUAGUGUAGCGGUGAAAUGCGCAGAUAUUAGGAAGAAUACCGGUGGCGAAGGCGACUUUCUGGU